RNAcentral lists this ribosomal RNA (600 nucleotides) under Triticum aestivum (bread wheat). RNAcentral's name for it is "partial small subunit ribosomal RNA". The record is from RNAcentral. Lineage: Eukaryota; Viridiplantae; Streptophyta; Magnoliopsida; Poales; Poaceae.
AUGUACCACAACAUACGGUCAUUUGGCAAACAAGAUGGUUUGGAUCGUAGUCAUAUGGAGCUCUACUUCUAUGAUGAUGAUCCCAGUUUAGAGCAUAGGUAUCGCAGUUGUCGUAAAGAGCAGUGCCAGAAAGACAAAGAAGUAAUCACACAACUGGUCGACAUACUUUGUGGCAACCCAUACUCUGAACACCUCCGUAGUAUGGGGCAUGUUGAUGAUGUGGAUGACUAUCACAUAACACUUAACCUUGACCAAAGGAUGGAUCAGAGAAGAUAUAAUGCGCCGACCACUUCAGAAGUAGCAGCUGUGUGGGUGGAGGGCAGUGAACGUCAAAGACAAUUCGGUAAUAGUGUCAUCCUGCAUGGGAAGAAUAGAGAUAUAUAUGGAAUCAAGUCAUAUCAUGGAUGCUAUGAUGCAUUGUCGUACCCUCUAUUCUUCCCUAGAGGCGAACUUGGGUGGCAUACUGAUAUCCCGAAGGAAGGUGUGUCCUAUGAAACUGUGAUGGCAGCUCGUGCAGCCCGUCUAGCUCGUGGUCAUAGUGAUGAGUCCUCUAAUCCUGGUGAUAAAGAUGAUGAGGACGAGGAUGAUAAUGCAGGUUAG